RNAcentral lists this ribosomal RNA (253 nucleotides) under uncultured bacterium. RNAcentral's name for it is "partial 16S ribosomal RNA". It matches the Rfam family "Bacterial small subunit ribosomal RNA", at positions 524 to 776 of the family's 1533-position model. The record is from RNAcentral.
UACGUAGGGUGCAAGCGUUGUCCGGAAUUAUUGGGCGUAAAGAGCUCGUAGGCGGUUCGUCGCGUCGGCUGUGAAAACCUGAGGCUCAACCUCAGACCUGCAGUCGAUACGGGCGGACUUGAGUACUGCAGGGGAGACUGGAAUUCCUGGUGUAGCGGUGAAAUGCGCAGAUAUCAGGAGGAACACCGGUGGCGAAGGCGGGUCUCUGGGCAGUAACUGACGCUGAGGAGCGAAAGCGUGGGGAGCGAACAGG